ACAUGCUUGCAACAUAGCGUUAAUGCAAUCGAUCCCUUUAGAACUCCACAGUUAAGCGCACUCAGGCUAGAGUAGUACUAGGAUGGGUGACUACCCAGGAAGUCCUAGUAUUUUACAUGCC
Non-coding RNA from Picea glauca (white spruce), 121 nucleotides. The record is from Rfam. Lineage: Eukaryota; Viridiplantae; Streptophyta; Pinopsida; Pinales; Pinaceae.